GGGGUGGUAGUGCAGUUGGCUAGUACGCUGGGCUCAUGGUGUUAAUGAAUUGUUAAAGAAAAAUUCACUCGGUGAGAGUUCCAGAGGUCGGGAGUUCAAUUCUCUCCCACCCCA
RNAcentral lists this transfer RNA (114 nucleotides) under Ipomoea nil (Japanese morning glory). It matches the Rfam family "tRNA". Rfam says of the family: Transfer RNA (tRNA) molecules are approximately 80 nucleotides in length. Their secondary structure includes four short double-helical elements and three loops (D, anti-codon, and T loops). Lineage: Eukaryota; Viridiplantae; Streptophyta; Magnoliopsida; Solanales; Convolvulaceae. The record is from Rfam by way of RNAcentral.